GUGUCAGCCGCCGCGGUAAUACGUAGGGAGCGAGCGUUGUCCGGAUUCAUUGGGCGUAAAGAGCUCGUAGGCGGCUUGGUAAGUCGGAUGUGAAACCUCCAGGCUCAACCUGGAGUCGCCAUCCGAUACUGCCAUGGCUAGAGUCCGGUAGGGGCCCACGGAAUUCCUGGUGUAGCGGUGAAAUGCGCAGAUAUCAGGAGGAACACCGGUGGCGAAGGCGGUGGGCUGGGCCGGCACUGACGCUGAGGAGCGAAAGCGUGGGGAGCGAACAGGAUUAGAAACCCGAGUAGUCC
This 293-nucleotide ribosomal RNA is filed under the name uncultured Acidimicrobiales bacterium. Its description in RNAcentral is "partial 16S ribosomal RNA". It matches the Rfam family "Bacterial small subunit ribosomal RNA", at positions 505 to 796 of the family's 1533-position model. The record is from RNAcentral. Lineage: Bacteria; Bacillati; Actinomycetota; Acidimicrobiia; Acidimicrobiales.